This 87-nucleotide transfer RNA is filed under the name Bacteroidota bacterium. RNAcentral's name for it is "Bacteroidetes bacterium tRNA-Leu". It matches the Rfam family "tRNA". Rfam says of the family: Transfer RNA (tRNA) molecules are approximately 80 nucleotides in length. The record is from RNAcentral. Lineage: Bacteria; Pseudomonadati; Bacteroidota.
GCCCGGGUGGCGAAAUUGGUAGACGCACUGUCUUCAGGUGGCAGCAUCCGAAAGGUUGUGCUGGUUCGAAUCCAGUCCCGGGCACAA